GACACUGGCCAGACUCCUACGGGAGGCUGCAGUCGAGGAUCUUCGGCAAUGGGCGCAAGCCUGACCGAGCGACGCCGCGUGCGCGAUGAAGGCCUUCGGGUUGUAAAGCGCUGUCGAGGGGGAGGAAGCCGCAAGGUUGACCUAUCCCUGGAGGAAGGACGGGCUAAGUUCGUGCCAGCAGCCGCGGUAAGACGAACCGUCCUAACGUUGUUCGGAAUCACUGGGCUUAAAGGGCGCGUAGGCGGGCGAUCAAGUCCGGGGUGAAAUCUUUCGGCUUAACCGGAAAACAGCCUUGGAUACUGAUUGUCUCGAGGGAGGUAGGGGCCUGUGGAACUUCCGGUGGAGCGGUGAAAUGCGUUGAUAUCGGAAGGAACGCCGGUGGCGAAAGCGACGGGCUGGACCUUUUCUGACGCUGAGGCGCGAAAGCUAGGGGAGCAAACGGGAUUAGAUACCCCGGUAGUCCUAGCCCUAA
Molecule: ribosomal RNA, 472 nt
Filed under: uncultured bacterium
Lineage: Bacteria
Description: bacterial SSU rRNA
Rfam family: Bacterial small subunit ribosomal RNA
Source: RNAcentral